Molecule: ribosomal RNA, 617 nt
Filed under: Blastocystis sp.
Lineage: Eukaryota; Bigyra; Opalinata; Blastocystidae
Description: SSU rRNA
Rfam family: Eukaryotic small subunit ribosomal RNA
Source: RNAcentral
AUCUGGUUGAUCCUGCCAGUAGUCAUACGUUGGUUUCAAAGAUUAAGCCAUGCAUGUGUAAGUAUAAAUAAUUUUACUUUGAAACUGCGAAUGGCUCAUUAUAUCAGUUAUAGUUUAUUAGAAAUAUUUUACUACUUGGAUAACCGUAGUAAUUCUAGGGCUAAUACAUGAGUAAAACCUCAACUUCGGAAGAGGUGUGUUUAUUAGUAUGAAAACCAUAUAUCUUCGGAUAUAAUAGUGAGUAAUAAUAACCUUUCAUAUCGUAUGUCGUAAGAUAACGAUAGUUCUUUCAAGUUUCUGCCCUAUCAGCUUUCGAUGGUAGUAUAUGGGACUACCAUGGCAGUAACGGGUAACGAAGAAUUUGGGUUCGAUUUCGGAGAGGGAGCCUGAGAGAUGGCUACCACAUCCAAGGAAGGCAGCAGGCGCGUAAAUUACCCAAUCCUGACAUAGGGAGGUAGUGACAAUAAAUCACAAUGCGGAACUUUUAGUUUUGCAAUUGGAUUGAGAACAAUGUACAAAUGUUAUCGAUAAACAAUUGGAGGGCAAGUCUGGUGCCAGCAGCCGCGGUAAUUCCCGCUCCAAUAACGUAUAUUAACGUUGUUGCAGUUAAAAAGCUC